Molecule: ribosomal RNA, 301 nt
Filed under: uncultured bacterium
Lineage: Bacteria
Description: partial 16S ribosomal RNA
Rfam family: Bacterial small subunit ribosomal RNA
Source: RNAcentral
CAGCCGCCACGGUAAUACAGAGGGUGCGAGCGUUAAUCGGAUUUACUGGGCGUAAAGCGUGCGUAGGCGGCUAAUUGAGUCGGAUGUGAAAUCCCCGAGCUUAACUUGGGAAUUGCAUUCGAUACUGGUUAGCUAGAGUGUUGGAGAGGAUGGUAGAAUUCCAGGUGUAGCGGUGAAAUGCGUAGAGAUCUGGAGGAAUACCGAUGGCGAAGGCAGCCAUCUGGCCUAACACUGACGCUGAGGUACGAAAGCAUGGGGAGCAAACAGGAUUAGAUACCCCGGUAGUCCCUGUCUCUUAUAC